GACGAACGCUGGCGGCGUGCUUAACACAUGCAAGUCGAGCGGUAAGGCCCUUUCGGGGGUACACGAGCGGCGAACGGGUGAGUAACACGUGGGUGACCUGCCCUCAGCUCUGGGAUAAGCCUGGGAAACUGGGUCUAAUACUGGAUAUGACUCCACGGUGCAUGUCGUGGGGUGGAAAGCCUUGUGCGGCUGAGGAUGGGCCCGCGGCCUAUCAGCUUGUUGUGGGGGAUGGCCUACCAAGGCGACGACGGGUAGCCGGCCUGAGAGGGCGACCGGCCACACUGGGACUGAGACACGGCCCAGACUCCUACGGGAGGCAGCAGUGGGGAAUCUUGCGCAAUGGGCGAAAGCCUGACGCAGCGACGCCGCGUGAGGGAUGACGGCCUGGUGUAACGU
Molecule: ribosomal RNA, 396 nt
Filed under: uncultured bacterium
Lineage: Bacteria
Description: bacterial SSU rRNA
Rfam family: Bacterial small subunit ribosomal RNA
Source: RNAcentral